AACGUAGGUUCCGAGCGUUAUCCGGAUUUACUGGGCGUAAAGCGCGUUCAGGCGGUUUGGCAAGUCGGGCAUGAAAUCUCUCGGCUCAACCGGGAGAGGUUGUCCGAUACUUCCAGACUUGAGGGCAGUAGAGGGUGGUGGAACUCCGGGUGUAGUGGUGAAAUGCGUAGAUAUCCGGAGGAACACCAGUGGCGAAAGCGGCCACCUGGACUGCACCUGACGCUGACACGCGAAAGCUAGGGGAGCGAACGGG
This 253-nucleotide ribosomal RNA is filed under the name uncultured bacterium. RNAcentral's name for it is "partial 16S ribosomal RNA". It matches the Rfam family "Bacterial small subunit ribosomal RNA", at positions 524 to 776 of the family's 1533-position model. The record is from RNAcentral.